RNAcentral lists this ribosomal RNA (326 nucleotides) under uncultured eukaryote. RNAcentral's name for it is "partial 18S ribosomal RNA". It matches the Rfam family "Eukaryotic small subunit ribosomal RNA", at positions 1470 to 1796 of the family's 1831-position model. The record is from RNAcentral.
CCCUUAGAUGUUCUGGGAUGCACGCGCGUUACACUGAUUCGUUCAACGAGUUUAUGACCUUGCCUGAUGAGGUGGGGGAAUCUUUUCAAAUCGCAUCGUGAUGGGGAUAGAGUAUUGUAACUGUUAGUCUUCAACGAGGAAUUCCUAGUAAGUACGUGUCAUCAGCUCGUACUGAUUAUGUCCCUGCCCUUUGUACACACCGCCCGUCGCUCCUACCGAUUGAGUGCUCAGGUGAAUAGUAUGGACUGCAUCAGUGUUCGGUCUCCGAAUGUUGACGCGAGAAAUUCUGUGAAUCUUAUUGCUUAGAGGAAGGAGAAGUCGUNACA